CCCGCCCCGCCCCGCGCCGCGCCCCGCGCCCCGCACCCCCCGCGCCCUGCUCCAAGGGCCCCGCCAGAGCGGCGACCUGAGGCGCCGGCCCGCCUGCCGGGCCUGUGCUCCCGAGAGAAGGCCCGCCACCACCCGCCGCAGCCCCUCCUGCCGUUCCCCCGGGCCGCGGGAGCGCGCGCACCUCCAGGGCCACGCGGCCUGCCGCCCGGCGGUUAGGGCCCCAGCUGGAACCGUGCCGGGAUGACAGCGUCCAUCCGCCACGUGGAAAGGUAAUCAGGAUGAACACACACUCUUUCUCCGGAAGGAGUUUCCCAGGGUAGAAAGGCUCUAACGUCAGUCCCAGCUAUUUCACUCUAAGUUCUUACAUUUUUAGCUGAAGAGAUCCGUUCUGCCCGGGACUCUAGAAAGGAAAGCAAAAGUGAAAUUGAACAAAGGGGACAUGCUAUUCUGACUCCAAAGUAAAUAUGAAAGUCCUCAUGAGUGCCGGGGAUUUCCUGGUCCACUGGCAACUUGAUGACUUGCAAAUGAAACAAUGGGAUCAGCCUGGAACAAGUGCUAAUGAAGAAAUCCGCAGGAAGUCCUGUCACAGGGACAGAGCAGUCCUCCAGGUGACGUCUGCCCUUCCGAGUGGCAGCUUACUGGUGAAUUCUUUGUCCUGAGAGUGCUUCAUGGACAUCGCUGACACAGUCUGAAGUCACCCAGAUGGAGAUCAAGAAUGCCUUCCAUCAGCCCAGAAAUUUCCUUCAUGCCUCUUUCCAGGGGACACUUAUACAGACACGCCACCCUGGCCUCAAACACUCCUGGGAUGGGUCUCAUGGCGGCUUCAGCCUGUCUGCUCUGACUUCACAUACGUGGACUUGUAUGGCUUCUCUCCCUCACCUCCCUCCUUUUAUCCACGUGAGAGCGCGUGCCCGCCGCUUGCUGUCUUUGCCAACACACAGUAUCCCACCAGAUAAAUAUAGCCUAGUGAUGUGGGGCUCCAUCCUGGGACCCCACAGUCUAUUGUUCUCCUGCUGAUGGACAUGGGGUUACUUCCUGUGUGGUCCCAUAAGCAGAGCGAAGCUAGGGAUGUUCUGGCUCAAGCGUUUUUGUCAGUCUCUGGAUUCAUGUCUGUUUUAUAAGUACCUGGUAGGUAGGUUUGUAUUUCAUUUCAUGAGGCGCUGCCAAGACUGUGACAAGGUGUUGGCAGCAUUUCACACUCCCACCAGCAAUACAUCACAAUUCUAGCUGCUCAACGCCCUCUGAGGACUAAGUCUGAUCUCUUGAGUAUGCUCUGGUAUCUCAUUAUAUUUCUAAUUUUUAUUUCCUGGUAAUUAAUGACGUCGAAUGUAUUUUCCUAUAUUCUUUCUUGACUUAGACAUCAACCUCUCUGAAACGACUGUUCAAAUCUUUAGUUUUAAACCAAACAGACUGACUUAUUAUUUUUUAAGAUAUAUUUAUUUAUUUUAGAGAGAGGUAGAGAGAGUGUGUGUGCAUGCUCAUGCAAGCGGGAGGAGGGGCAGAGGGAGAGAGAGAGAAGCCCAAGCAGACCCCACACUCAGCAGGGAGCCCGGUGCAGGGCUCAGUCUCACACCCCAGGGUCUGUGACCUAAGCAGAAGUCAAGAGUCAGAUGCUUAAUUCGCUGAGCCACCCUGGUGCCCCCAACUUUUUAUUAUUGAUUUAAGGGAGUUCUUUACAUAUUCUGGGUAUCAGACCUGUUAUAUACGUUGUGACUUUUUUUUGCCAAGUUGGUGGCUUGUCUUUUGCCUUUACAGUUUCUUUUAAUGAGUAGAAUAUAUUAAUUCUCAUGGAGCCUAAGUUAACAAUAUUUUCUUUCAUGUAGAAUGCAUUUUAUACCCCAUUUAAGAAAUCUCACCUACCUCAAGGUCAUAAAGAUUUUCUUCUAUGGGUUCUCUUAGAAGCUGUGAUAUUAACUUUUGCACUUAGGACUAUGAUUCUUCUCAGAUCAAAUUUUGCAUGUGGCGUGAGUGGAGAGGCAAGGUUCAUUUUUUUUUUUUUCCUAAACAUUGUUCCAACACAAUUUAUUGUAAAGUUCCUUUCCUCAUUGAAUGCUUUACUGUCUUUGUCAAAAAUCAACUGAACUUAUAUGUGGAGGUUCCUUUUUGAACUCCAUAUUCUGUUCUGUUAAUCUCUUUCUCUAUCCUUAUGACAAUACUGUACUGAUCACUGUAUUUUUAAAGCAAGCGUUGAUAUCAAACAGCA
Lutra lutra (Eurasian river otter) is the source of this 2203-nucleotide long non-coding RNA. RefSeq lists it as uncharacterized. The transcript has 2 exons. The record is from RefSeq and is a predicted model, not a curated record. Lineage: Eukaryota; Metazoa; Chordata; Mammalia; Carnivora; Mustelidae.